CCCUAUGGGGUGCAGCAGGCGUAGAAAACUUUGCAAUGUGCGAAAGCACGACAAGGUUAAUCCGAGUGGUUUCUGCUAAAGGAACCUUUUGUUAGUCAUAGAACCACUAAUGAAUAAGGGGUGGGCAAGUUCUGGUGUCAGCCGCCGCGGUAAAACCAGCACCUCAAGUGGUCAGGAUGAUUAUUGGGCCUAAAGCAUCCGUAGCCUGCUUUGCCAGUUUUCGGUUAAAUCCAUACGCUUAACGUAUGGGCUGCCGGGAAUACUACAAAGCUAGGGAGUGGGAGAGGUAGACGGUACUCGGUAGGAAGGGGUAAAAUCCUUUGAUCUAUUGAUGACCACCUGUGGCGAAGGCGGUCUACCAGAACACGUCCGACGGUGAGGGAUGAAAGCUGGGGGAGCAAACCGGAUUAGAUACCCGGGUAGUCCCAGCUGUAAACUAUGCAAACUAGGUGAUGCAUUGGCUUGAUGCCAAUGCAGUGCCUCAGGGAAGCCGUUAAGUUUGCCGCCUGGGAAGUACGUACGCAAGUAUGAAACUUAAAGGAAUUGGCGGGGGAGCACCACAAGGGGUGAAGCCUGCGGUUCAAUUGGAGUCAACGCCAGAAUCUUACCCGGAGAGACAGCAGAUGAAGUCAGCUGAGACUUUACCAGACAGCUGAGAGAGGUGCAUGGCCAGGCGAU
Molecule: ribosomal RNA, 678 nt
Filed under: uncultured euryarchaeote
Lineage: Archaea; Methanobacteriati; Methanobacteriota
Description: bacterial SSU rRNA
Rfam family: Archaeal small subunit ribosomal RNA
Source: RNAcentral